CAGCAUGUGCUUCAGCAGGCAAAACAAUACUUAAAAUAAUUUGAAGGGUGCACUCUAUUAAAAGUUGCACUUCAGCUCUGUUUCCAGCAUACAUUAAAAGCAAAAACAAAAUCAAGGAAAGAUUUAAAGCUGUUUUUCUGCAAUUGUGGCCAUUACUCUAGCAAUUUGCUAGAUACAGCAAAUAUUGAAAAAUAUCUGUUAUUAUUCCUCUCUACCCUGAAGUGCAAUCUUCCAAACUUGAUCCAGCUUGCAAUAGAAACAUCUCUUUCGAAAGGGAGUGCUAACGCAGAAAAGUAAGCACCCAAGGCCAACUUCCAUAAGAUUGGCAUAAGAUGACUACAAAAAGCAAGCUGCUCCACAAGGAGACAUGAUGAGUUACCAAGAGACUGGCAAAAUUUAGCCCAUUUGCAUCUGGACCUGGGUGCUUCUUCCAGGAGAAAUAUCAUCAGGAUCUCAUGUACAUCCUACCGUCUCGUUACCAGAGAAUUUGCUUCAGAUCCCAACCCAGCAGCAGAAUCACACUCCAGCUCCCUCGAUUUUAUUAGAUGAAAUUAAACGACUCCAUAGAUCCAAAGGAGGCCUCCAAACGUGAUCCAAGUAUAAAGCUGUACUGUGUAUGAAACUACAGUGCCAGAGGAAUGAGGAAGUCCAAAAGUGCCUAUCAUUUCUCAUGUGUGAGAGAGAGAGACCACGCAAGCAUCGAGACAAGCCAGAUCAUCCUGUGCAGGAAGGGACCCGUUAUCUUCUAUACACAAUGCGGUUAACAUAACUUCUGAAAAAUGCCUCGUCUAAAGAUCUACAAAAUAACAGCGCACCUGGGAGAGAGACAAGGACAGAGAGACAUGAUGGAGAGUGUGUAGCUAAAAAUUAGUGCAAAUGGCUAAAAGUUGCUGCAAAUGUAAAUCGUGUUGCUGAUAUAGGUUUUCUAGGUUGUUAGUUUCUAAGAUAAAGCAAAGCACUCCAGGAAGAGUAUACACGGAUUAUUUUUUAGGCAGUCUUGGGGCAGGCCAGAAACAAACAAACAGAAAGAUACCCAUCAUAAAAUGCACGUUCAGAUCAACUGGAUUAUUUAUGGCAUCACAUUACUUCUGGUGAAUUGUUUUGUCACAAUUUAUGAAUAAAAAAACUAAUACUAAUAAUAAAUCA
Dromaius novaehollandiae (emu) is the source of this 1146-nucleotide long non-coding RNA. RefSeq lists it as uncharacterized. The transcript has 3 exons. The record is from RefSeq and is a predicted model, not a curated record. Lineage: Eukaryota; Metazoa; Chordata; Aves; Casuariiformes; Dromaiidae.